This is a small nuclear RNA of Sorex fumeus (smoky shrew), 105 nucleotides long. NCBI's taxonomy places the organism in Eukaryota, Metazoa, Chordata, Mammalia, Eulipotyphla, Soricidae. The record is from RefSeq and is a predicted model, not a curated record.
GUACUCAUUUUGUCAGCACAUAUACUAAAAUUGGAAUAAUACAGGGAAUUUUAACAUUGCCCCUGCACCAGGAUGAGACAAAUUUGUGAAGUAUUCGUAUUUUCA